CAUCACGUUGAAACACCGGUUCCCAUGCAAUCACGAAAGUUAAGCAACGUCGAGCUUGGUCAGUAGCUAGAGGGGUGAUCGCUUGGAAAUGCCAAGUGCUGUAAG
Molecule: non-coding RNA, 105 nt
Organism: Acanthosepion pharaonis
Lineage: Eukaryota; Metazoa; Mollusca; Cephalopoda; Sepiida; Sepiidae
Source: the annotation of a GenBank genome assembly